AUUAUCGCGCGGUGAAUACGUCCCUGCUCCUUGCACACACCGCCCGUCGUUUCAUUGAAGUGGGCUUUUAGCGAGGCGAUGUCUUAUUGGCAUUGUCGAACUUGAGGUCCGUGACAAGGGAAAAGUCGUAACAAGGUGACCGUAGGGGAACCUGCGGUCGGAUCACCUCCUUAGAC
Molecule: ribosomal RNA, 176 nt
Filed under: Gammaproteobacteria bacterium
Lineage: Bacteria; Pseudomonadati; Pseudomonadota; Gammaproteobacteria
Description: partial 16S ribosomal RNA
Rfam family: Archaeal small subunit ribosomal RNA
Source: RNAcentral